AAGCGAGUGCGAAAAAUAAAUAAAGUAAAGCGGGUGUGAAAAAUAAAUAAAGUAAAGCAAGUGCGGAAAAUAAAUAAAAUAAAAGCGUAGACAGAAAGUAAAUAAAAUAAAAGCGUAAAUAAGUUCCUGGUCCAAACGGAGGGCUUUAAAUCUGGUACAAGAAAAAUAAACCUCCGACUCCUGAAGAUAAAGACGACAACAACUCGAAGUGACCCAACUCAAUCUCACUAAGGUGCGAU
RNAcentral lists this long non-coding RNA (239 nucleotides) under Lathyrus oleraceus (garden pea). Its description in RNAcentral is "Pisum sativum (pea) long non-coding RNA (PSAT_LNC032578)". Lineage: Eukaryota; Viridiplantae; Streptophyta; Magnoliopsida; Fabales; Fabaceae. The record is from RNAcentral.